CCUACGGGUGGCAGCAGUGAGGAAUAUUGGUCAAUGGCCGAGAGUCUGAACCAGCCAAGUCGCGUGAAGGAUGACUGCCCUAUGGGUUGUAAACUUCUUUUAUCUGGGAAUAAAAUGUUCCACGUGUGGGUUUUUGUAUGUACCAUAUGAAUAAGGAUCGGCUAACUCCGUGCCAGCAGCCGCGGUAAUACGGAGGAUCCGAGCGUUAUCCGGAUUUAUUGGGUUUAAAGGGAGCGUAGGUGGAUUGUUAAGUCAGUUGUGAAAGUUUGCGGCUCAACCGUAAAAUUGCAGUUGAAACUGGCAGUCUUGAGUACAGUAGAGGUAGGCGGAAUGCGUGGUGUAGCGGUGAAAUGCUUAGAUAUCACGAAGAACUCCGAUUGCGAAGGCAGCUCACUGGACUGCAACUGACACUGAGGCUCGAAAGUGUGGGUAUCAAACAGGAUUAGAUACCCUUGUAGUC
Molecule: ribosomal RNA, 460 nt
Filed under: uncultured bacterium
Lineage: Bacteria
Description: partial 16S ribosomal RNA
Rfam family: Bacterial small subunit ribosomal RNA
Source: RNAcentral